Molecule: ribosomal RNA, 468 nt
Filed under: uncultured bacterium
Lineage: Bacteria
Description: partial 16S ribosomal RNA
Rfam family: Bacterial small subunit ribosomal RNA
Source: RNAcentral
GACGAACGCUGGCGGCGUGCUUAACACAUGCAAGUCGAACGGAAAGGCCCUGCUUUUGUGGGGUGCUCGAGUGGCGAACGGGUGAGUAACACGUGAGUAACCUGCCCUUGACUUUGGGAUAACUUUAGGAAACUGGGGCUAAUACCGGAUAGGAGCUCCUGCUGCAUGGUGGGGGUUGGAAAGUUUCGGCGGUUGGGGAUGGACUCGCGGCUUAUCAGCUUGUUGGUGGGGUAGUGGCUUACCAAGGCUUUGACGGGUAGCCGGCCUGAGAGGGUGACCGGCCACAUUGGGACUGAGAUACGGCCCAGACUCCUACGGGAGGCAGCAGUGGGGAAUAUUGCACAAUGGGCGGAAGCCUGAUGCAGCAACGCCGCGUGCGGGAUGACGGCCUUCGUGUUAUAAACCGCUUUCGCCUGUGACGAAGCGUGAGUGACGGUAAUGGGUAAAGAAGCACCGGCUAACUACGUG